AUUGAACGCUGGCGGCAGGCCUAACACAUGCAAGUCGAGCGGAUGAAGGGAGCUUGCUCCUGGAUUCAGCGGCGGACGGGUGAGUAAUGCCUAGGAAUCUGCCUGGUAGUGGGGGAUAACGUCCGGAAACGGGCGCUAAUACCGCAUACGUCCUGAGGGAGAAAGUGGGGGAUCUUCGGACCUCACGCUAUCAGAUGAGCCUAGGUCGGAUUAGCUAGUUGGUGGGGUAAAGGCCUACCAAGGCGACGAUCCGUAACUGGUCUGAGAGGAUGAUCAGUCACACUGGAACUGAGACACGGUCCAGACGCCUACGGGAGGCAGCAGUGGGGAAUGUUGGACAAUGGGCGAAAGCCUGAUCCAGCCAUGCCGCGUGUGUGAAGAAGGUCUUCGGAUUGUAAAGCACUUUAAGUUGGGGGGAAGGGCAGUAAGUUAAUACCUUGCUGUUUUGACGUUACCAACAGAAUAAGCACCGGCUAACUUCGUG
Molecule: ribosomal RNA, 484 nt
Filed under: uncultured bacterium
Lineage: Bacteria
Description: partial 16S ribosomal RNA
Rfam family: Bacterial small subunit ribosomal RNA
Source: RNAcentral